Dermacentor silvarum is the source of this 381-nucleotide long non-coding RNA. RefSeq lists it as uncharacterized. NCBI's taxonomy places the organism in Eukaryota, Metazoa, Arthropoda, Arachnida, Ixodida, Ixodidae. The transcript has 4 exons. The record is from RefSeq and is a predicted model, not a curated record.
GGUCGUGCAGUCGACGCCGCGACCUGACAUGAAGGAGCGUUUGCCGACUACGCCUAGAAAGGGAUGUCAAGAUUUCGUGAACCAGAGGCACCGCAUAGGAACCUAAGACAUUUCUGCAGCCGGAACAGCACGGCAAAGCAUCUGAUCUGCAUGCUGCGACAAGGUAUGGCUGGGCCUGGUGAUGAAGUGUAAGCAGAACAUGCUAUGCUGCGAAUUGGUGCCAAUCUUCACAUCCGAGUUGUUCCCACGACAGUCAAGCACCACUGUGAUUUGCUUCAUUGGCAAGGUGCCCUGCAAGCUCUCACCAAAGCAACACAUUCCACUGGUUUUCUGUCAGAGUACCAUUAUAGAAUUUCGAAUAAACUAUGCUUGUCAGAUGUG